This 468-nucleotide ribosomal RNA is filed under the name uncultured bacterium. RNAcentral describes it as "partial 16S ribosomal RNA". It matches the Rfam family "Bacterial small subunit ribosomal RNA", at positions 28 to 507 of the family's 1533-position model. The record is from RNAcentral.
GACGAACGCUGGCGGCGUGCUUAACACAUGCAAGUCGAACGGAAAGGCCCUGCUUUUGUGGGGUGCUCGAGUGGCGAACGGGUGAGUAACACGUGAGUAACCUGCCCUUGACUUUGGGAUAACUUCAGGAAACUGGGGCUAAUACCGGCUAGGAGCUCCUGCUGCAUGGUGGGGGUUGGAAAGUUUCGGCGGUUGGGGAUGGACUCGCGGCUUAUCAGCUUGUUGGUGGGGUAGUGGCUUACCAAGGCUUUGACGGGUAGCCGGCCUGAGAGGGUGACCGGCCACAGUGGGACUGAGAUACGGCCAAGACUCCUACGGGAGGCAGCAGUGGGGAAUAUUGCAAAAUGGGCGGAAGCCUGAUGCAGCAACGCCGCGUGCGGGAUGACGGCCUUCGGGUUGUAAACCGCUUUCGCCUGUGACGAAGCGUGAGUGACGGUAAUGGGUAAAGAAGCACCGGCUAACUACGUG